CCCCUAGAUGUUCUGGGCCGCACGCGCGCUACACUGAACAGUUCAACAAGUCUUAACCUUGGCCGAUAGGUCUGGGUAAUCUUUGAACGCUGUUCGUGACUGGGAUAGACCUUUGCAAUUAUGGGUCUUCAACGAGGAAUUCCUAGUAAACGCAAGUCAUCAGCUUGCAUUGAUUACGUCCCUGCCCUUUGUACACACCGCCCGUCGCAUCUACCGAUUGAAUGGUCCGGUGAAAUCUCGGGACGGCGGCUUGGUCGCUUGCGUCCGACUGCUGAAACUUGAUUAAACCAUAUCAUUUAGAGGAAGGUGAAGUCGUANCA
This 320-nucleotide ribosomal RNA is filed under the name uncultured eukaryote. RNAcentral describes it as "partial 18S ribosomal RNA". It matches the Rfam family "Eukaryotic small subunit ribosomal RNA", at positions 1470 to 1796 of the family's 1831-position model. The record is from RNAcentral.